Molecule: long non-coding RNA, 358 nt
Filed under: Medicago truncatula (barrel medic)
Lineage: Eukaryota; Viridiplantae; Streptophyta; Magnoliopsida; Fabales; Fabaceae
Description: lncRNA gene22899
Source: RNAcentral
UCCUUUUUAUACUCCCUCCGAUCCCACGCGCGCGCGUGCGUGCUCUUGUUGUGUUCCCUCGCUCUGUGAACCAUCAGAUCUGGAUUGUUCCAAGAUCUGAUGGCUGCUAUCUUUGAUCUAACGGUCACUGUGCUUCCUGCAUUUUACACUAUCUUUUGUGCUUUUUUUUGGACCCUUGGAUCUUUGAUCCAGUGGCUGUGAUGUGAUCUUGGGAGUUAGAUCUGGACCUCUGGAUUCAUCCAGCGGACCAGAUUAAAUCCUGCUGAGCCUUUUUUUAAUUGCUUUUUAAUUGUGUUUUAAAUACUUUUUUACACUUUCUUGGCAUUUUAUGCUCCUAAAAAUUUUCUAAAAAUAUUUC